This 63-nucleotide transfer RNA is filed under the name Aenictopecheidae sp. PJ-2015. Its description in RNAcentral is "tRNA-Asp". Lineage: Eukaryota; Metazoa; Arthropoda; Insecta; Hemiptera; Aenictopecheidae. The record is from RNAcentral.
AAAAGAUUAGUUUAAUAAAAAAACAUUAAUUUGUCAAAUUAAAAAUAUUUAUAAUAUCUUUUU